This 313-nucleotide unclassified non-coding RNA is filed under the name uncultured Udeniozyma. RNAcentral's name for it is "sequence contains ITS2". The stretch from base 1 to 52 matches the Rfam family "5.8S ribosomal RNA", at positions 103 to 154 of the family's 154-position model. The record is from RNAcentral. Lineage: Eukaryota; Fungi; Basidiomycota; Microbotryomycetes; Chrysozymaceae.
AACGCACCUUGCGCUCUCUGGUAUUCCGGAGAGCAUGCCUGUUUGAGUGUCAUGAACUCUUCAACCCACCAGUUUCUUGCUAAACUGCGCUGGUGUUUGGUUUCUGAACGUUGCUGGUUCCUUGUUGAACUUCAGCUCGCUUAAAAUACAUUAGCAUCUCAAUUUCGAAACUUGGAUUGACUCAGCGUAAUAGACUUUUCGCUGAGGACACCUUCAGGGUGGCCAUGUUAGAUAACGAUUGAUGCUUAUAGCACUCUAUCUAGUCACUCUUAGAUUAGACCUCAGAUCAGGCAGGAUUACCCGCUGAACUUAA